Molecule: long non-coding RNA, 4365 nt
Filed under: Pomacea canaliculata
Lineage: Eukaryota; Metazoa; Mollusca; Gastropoda; Architaenioglossa; Ampullariidae
Description: uncharacterized LOC112560738
Source: RNAcentral
AGCUCUGCUCUACAGAAGCUGGGAACGCCAAGCUCUGCCUGCUCCUACAACAGGAAUAAUUAAUCGGGUUGGUGUGAACCCGGCCUCUGACACAUGAUGAAGAGCUCUUGCUUGCCGGAGGCAGCGAACGUCCGUCGUUCUGUGGCAAUGAAGCGCAGAGGACGGGGACGAGGCAUGAUGGGGGGAGGAAAGCAGCUACAAGAACGGAGUACCCAAGGGAAGGGAAACAAUGGGCUGUUCACUUGUUGGCCGAAGACCGUGCAUGCGAGCGGCGUGUACUAGUGGCGCCAUCUGGCCAUCACAUUCCUGGCGUCUUCUGUUCUUCUUCCGUCAACAUUCAUGAUUCACUGAGGUGGUAUGACUGUAAUCAUAACUGGGGGCCUGGGAGUCGAGUUUUGAGACAGGAUGGAGGGUAAUAGCUGGAGGCUUGCGUCAUCUGGGGAAGAUCGUCAGCAGCACUCGAUACCUUCUGAAAAUCUCUACAUAAGAACUUGCGCUACAGACAAAGAGGGAAAAAUUCAAGGGAAAGGAGGUGAAAGGAGGUUAGAAAAGGAGAAAGAAAAUAUGAAAGAAGGAGGACGUGGGGGUCGGUGGAGGGAAGGUUUAGAGGCUGAGUGGAUGCAUGUAAUGAUGCCAACACAGGCGCGCGGACACACAGACCAAGAGAAGGAAGUGUAAAGAACAGAAUGAAGAGGUUUUAGUGGCGAGCACGGAGACAGGAGUAGAAUGAUAGCAGAACAGUUCCUCUGACAGUCGAUGUUAGUUGUUUGUCUUAGCCCUGACUAAACCUCACAUCCAUCUUGUAUAAUCUCUCUCUCACACUCUCUUUUUACUAAUUCGACACUUUUUAUGAGGUUUUACGAUAAUGGCAUUGUGAUAUGUGUGUGUGAGAGAGAGUGAGAUAUAUAUAUUGGUGUGAGAGAGAUUCAUUCCUUUUUCUUUCAUUAAUUAUGCUUUAACUUAUUACUGACUAAUCUUUCUUUUCUUUGAAAAGGGUUCCUUGCUUCUGGUCUACUCAGUACAAGAGUUUGAGUUUAGCAUGAUUCGUUUUAGUAGUUAACUGGAAAAAAAUUCUGCCAGCAGUCCAGUAAUGUCUCAUGGAGUUCCACACAAAGAAGAAGCUAUUUACACAUGUAACUACUUGUUUACAUGUGUAGAAACUACUAUCGUAAACAGUUUUCAUGCGUAAACACAGCUUGGCACACGUACCUGGAGUAAUCUUACGUCAUGUGUAAAUAUUCUUGCCUAAAGGUUAGUUUAAAUGUACAGACACAUUACUUUAUCUUGUGUAAGUGUAGUCUAUAUAUAUCUACAAUCAUAUGUGUACCAAAUUUUUCAGACCGAGAUUUUUGUUUACGCGUGAUAAAACUGUGAUUACUAGACAAACACUUUGUGUUGAACUGUCUGCCGACAUCAACCAGCUGUACAAGUUCACAUGCAGGUCAGAGAAAGGUCACGUGAAACAAAGUGUGGCGAUGAUUAUUAAGCUUUAAGGGAAUUCUUUAAGAUUGUCGGCAGAGGGCGCUGUCCAGUAUAACGAGCUAUAUAAUUAGUAAUUACGAACAGGUAUGUAUGCUUUCACAGUAGAAGGUGUCACCAAGAGUCAAAUAAGAGUAAAGACAUAUCAACACGAUUUACAAAGAAGGAAAAGGUCCUUUUCCAAUUGUAAUAAAUGAACAUGUCUAUCCUAAAAUGAAUUUCAGACUUAGUGUCUAAAGAUAGAGAUUAUGACUGCAUUCAGGUAGGCAAGUGAGAGACAAGUGUUGGUUACCGCAGUGUAAAGAAGCAUUCAUGGAGUAGGCACACAAAGAGAUCGAGAAAGAGAAGGAGCGACAGAGGGAAUGGCCGGUAUCUCUCCAGGUCCGGUUAGCCAUUAUUUUAUGUUGACUGUGGCAAUACUUUAGUCUCAUGGUAAAUGAAUUGCUGGAUUCCUUUUAUCAUAACCAGUCACCUCCGUGCUGAAUGAACUCAUGCGACGUUUAUUUUCAAAACGACUGACAUUAUUUAGCACAACAGGCUUCACGCUGGAAGGUUUUUCCCCAACGAGCAAGCCUCCUACAACGAAGAAAUGAUGGACAAAACAAGAAAAAAGAGAAAUAAAAGAUGAAAAGGAAAAGUAUUAAGAAGCACGAAAAACAACAACAACAACAACAACAACAAAUAUUUAUGUUGUCAAGAUCUACAAGAGGCUGGGCUGCACCUCGUGUUGUUGACUGGGCGGAUGAAACGUGAGAUAAGGUUUUUGUGACCCAGACUGACCCCAGUGGGACUCAAAACACACGUUCAGUAAGAUACAGAACAGAGGAUGUUGCGGUCAGACAGAGGGCACGUCACGCAGACAGCAAGGAUUAUGGGUCAUGGGUUCAGAUUUCAACAGUUCAGCUCAACUUUCUGCUGAGUCGGAGUAAAAUACCAACAAGCCUCUGACUGAAUUGCUGUUGCUCUUUGUUUACCUCUCUUGUCAAGACACGGAGUGUUAUUGCUUCUUUGAUUUAUUCCUUUUGUUUUUGUCUCUGGAUGCAGUCAGUCUUUUUUUCUUUGUCUGGGUCCAGACGGAGAGAAAAUGUUAGACAGCCUCUGUAGUGUGAUGAAUGAGGAAUUAUGAAGCCCCGAAUACUAAAACUGGUUUGCAAUAGUGUAUAACUGGAUUCACAAUAUCAAAACUGGUUUAGCAGUCCAAGGAAGGGAAGUAGACCACAACUGGGGAAAUUGGAAAUUCCAGAAGCUCAUGAGCAAUUAACUUUCACCACUUAAUGUGCUCCAAUAACUAGCCGCCCACAAGUAUGUAAAGCCAUGUCUCAACAAACUUGUCUUUCAAAUAUAUUAGCACAGGUGUCUACAGCAAUCUUACUUUUACUAAAACUAACGGGGAUAGGAAACUGUACUUAUUCAGAUUCCAAAGAAUGUCUGGGACUCGAAACUCUUUUCUUCCGUAAAACACAUACGCCUUCCUUCCUUCCUUCUUGCUUGGCUCCUCUUCUAGUUUAAUUAUUCUCCUGGGAGGAUAUCAUUCUAUACCACUGUCUUCAUUUACAUCAGACGAUUUCUACAAACAACAGGAACCGGAAUCUUUUCUGAGUGUUUUUGACCCAGCGCCUCUCGGAAACUCUGACGAACCACGACUCUGUCGAAAGUAGCACCAGACCGUUCUGACCUCAUGCAUCCAUUACCACAGCGAUCAUUGACCUCACCAGUUCACCCAACCAUCUCACCCACUCUGGACACUGAACAGAAUCGGAUCCCUGGAAUUAUGGCGGGAAUAAAAGUUUGUGAUGGCGCCGUUAUCAGGGUGACUACACGAGUGCGGGAAGCUGCGAUUGAGAGAAGGCAGCAGGAGGUCCACACUCACUUCUUCUCGGUUACACCACCAAAGCCCAGUGCAUGUCUGACAAGUCUAUUUUCAGGUGCCUCGGAGGGCCAAGAUUAGACCUGACGGCGACACCGGAGGUCGGAAAUAACCCUCUGUGGCUGCGGUGUGAGACUAGAAGACUGGGAUGUCAGGUCGUAAACACGUUUUCCACUUUGUUUCUUGAAACAAAUGGCUCUGUGCUCGACAACACAAGGCCCGGGGUAGGUGGGAGUGAGAGAAGGAGGCUGCAUCUGCCGUAUCUCUUGAGGAGGAGGCAGCUGGCCGCUGACUUUGAUGGUUCUCUGAGGGAUGAGGAGCCCGGCGUUUAAAACUUCGCACUUAUGAUGUGACAAAAAAAUCUGGGUAAGACAGAGUAAAUAGAUAAAUAACACAUAAUAAUAAGUGCGGGGACGUUAUAAACAGUAGUGAUAAAUAUAACACAAAUACAAGGCAAAAAAUCCAGUCUAAUAAAUAUACGAAUAAUACACCCAGAUUAACAUGCCAACAUUGUGGUCCUGGCAGGUCUCUUGGACCAUAGACCAAAGAGUAACUACUGGAAAAAACGCACCAACACCUGCAACAUCACGGAACUAUCCCCCUCCUCUCUCCCCCCACAAACCUCCUCUCUUCCAUUCUUACCCCCUUUUUCUCCAUCUACCCCAGGUUUCUAUCCCACACGGUGCCAAACCGCCUUCAGGUAGAACACGUCUCUCUCUCAUCAACAACAACAAAAGAAAAAUAAUGUGGAGACCCUCUCCAUCCUGAGGUACUUCAAACAGCGGCUCUGACAUCAAAAGCACUUAACUCUCCCUGCCAACCUUUCAAGCGGCCAUUGCGGCGGUCGUUCUGUUUGCCAGGAAACCUGCUUGAAUGUGUUGUCUUGGACUGCUUGUUUGAUCUUCGAGGGGCGAAGAAGUAGAAAUAAAUUAAAUAAUUCAUUGAAAUCGUUCCAGCACGAUUUAAAGAACCGUUGGGAUUAAAGUUUGGAAAGAUAUAAUGUUGCAGCACUACGGUUU